ACGAACGCUGGCGGCGUGCUUAACCCGUGCCAGUCGCACGGAAAGGCCCUGCUUUUGUGGGGUGCUCGAGUGGCGAACGGGUGAGUAACACGUGAGUAACCUGCCCUUGACUUUGGGAUAACUUCAGGAAACUGGGGCUAAUACCGGAUAGGAGCUCCUGCUGCAUGGUGGGGGUUGGAAAGUUUCGGCGGUUGGGGAUGGACUCGCGGCUUAUCAGCUUGUUGGUGGGGUAGUGGCUUACCAAGGCUUUGACGGGUAGCCGGCCUGAGAGGGUGACCGGCCACAUUGGGACUGAGAUACGGCCCAGACUCCUACGGGAGGCAGCAGUGGGGAAUAUUGCACAAUGGGCGGAAGCCUGAUGCAGCAACGCCGCGUGCGGGAUGACGGCCUUCGGGUUGUAAACCGCUUUCGCCUGUGACGAAGCGUGAGUGACGGUAAUGGGUAAAGAAGCACCGGCUAACUACGUG
RNAcentral lists this ribosomal RNA (467 nucleotides) under uncultured bacterium. RNAcentral describes it as "partial 16S ribosomal RNA". It matches the Rfam family "Bacterial small subunit ribosomal RNA", at positions 29 to 507 of the family's 1533-position model. The record is from RNAcentral.